UACGUAGGGGGCAAGCGUUGUCCGGAUUUAUUGGGCGUAAAGAGCUCGUAGGCGGCUUGGCAAGUCGGGUGUGAAAACUCCAGGCUUAACCUGGAGAUGCCACUCGAGACUGCUAUGGCUAGAGUCCGGUAGGGGACCACGGAAUUCCUGGUGUAGCGGUGAAAUGCGCAGAUAUCAGGAGGAACACCGGUGGCGAAGGCGGUGGUCUGGGCCGGCACUGACGCUGAGGAGCGAAAGCGUGGGGAGCAAACAGG
This 254-nucleotide ribosomal RNA is filed under the name uncultured bacterium. RNAcentral's name for it is "partial 16S ribosomal RNA". It matches the Rfam family "Bacterial small subunit ribosomal RNA", at positions 524 to 776 of the family's 1533-position model. The record is from RNAcentral.